Molecule: RNA transcript, 787 nt
Organism: Sciurus carolinensis (gray squirrel)
Lineage: Eukaryota; Metazoa; Chordata; Mammalia; Rodentia; Sciuridae
Gene name: sperm-associated acrosin inhibitor-like
Exons: 5
Source: RefSeq, a predicted model, not a curated record
UUAGAUAGAAGGUGUUUGUUGAGGAUGAAAAGUGACAGGAUAGCCAUAGCCUCGAGAGCUGUUGUCCUAACAUCUUCUCUUUGUGUGAAGCAGGUCAAGUGUGCACCUGGGGAGACAGGCUUGUGCAUCAUUGCUGUGAGGACUGCUCCAGGUAUCAUUGUUAACAUUCCAAAGAGUUCUUUCAUAGACCUGAUAAAAUGCCUCUCUUCUCAUCAAGAAUCAAAGUCAUUUUCAUCAUUGUCUUGACAUUUCCUCUUUAUUCUGAAACUCUCUUCAUAAAAUCAGCAAUUUACAGGUAUCCGACGAUCUGUAAUUUGUAUAAUCAGUUUUUAAACAUUUGCACCAAAGAAUAUAUUCCAGUCUGUGGAACAGAUGGCCACACUUAUUGCAACAAAUGCAUUUUCUGCAUGGCCUACAAGUAAGAACAUAUGAAACAGUGGCCGCAAAUUUAGUUUGGCACAUUAUGGUAAAUGUUGAAUUUUUAGAAGAGCUACAUAGUCCCAUGGAUUUUAUUGUGAUCCCAAUUUUGCAGUGAAUUCUACAAGCAAUUUGAAUUUUUGCAAUUAGGAUCUUAUGCUCCUAGAAGAUCAGUUGAAUCUUCCUGUAGAACAACUGAUGGAAUACUGGACAUUCAACAUUUUUUCCAAUUCUAAGAUUCUGGGAUUUCAGAAUUUUAUCCUUUCUGUUCAACUAUUUAAAUAUUAAUUUUCAAGCUAAUAUUAUGUUUGAUAACUUGUAACCUAAUGUAAUUAACACCCUAUUUUGCUUAAUAAAAUAUUAAAUUAUC